Long non-coding RNA from Crotalus tigris (Tiger rattlesnake), 458 nucleotides. RefSeq lists it as uncharacterized. Lineage: Eukaryota; Metazoa; Chordata; Lepidosauria; Squamata; Viperidae. The transcript has 3 exons. The record is from RefSeq and is a predicted model, not a curated record.
CACCAUAAGAGCUGUAAGUCAUUCAUUUCCCUCACAAUCCUGAUUUAAGCCCCCUCUUUUUGUCUGCGUAUCUAUAUCCGAUGACUGAUGCAUGCUUCCUUUAAUUUCCGCAUCUUAGUUGGAAGAGGAGAACAAGACGUUAGCCAGCGAACUGGCCCAUCUUCUGGAGCGGAAUGAGGAACUCAAGCACUUAACAAAUCUUGAUCCAGAAAGAGAGGCUGACAGAAAGGAGUUGGAGGUUGCAAUAUUGAAGAAAAAAUUGGAAAUGGAGCAGAAGGCAAUCAGCCGACUCACCGCUGAGGUCUCAAGAGAGAGGGAGAGGAGAAGAGACCUCAUGAGAGCGCGGGACCGGGCAAUCGAUGCCAUCUGCUCCCAGCUACUGUCUAUCCCUUAUUCGGAGAGAAGAUUGUCGGUGAGCUUUGUCCUUCUGCUUCUGGGAGAGAAAGAGACAUAUUUCA